This is a long non-coding RNA of Felis catus (domestic cat), 536 nucleotides long. RefSeq lists it as uncharacterized. NCBI's taxonomy places the organism in Eukaryota, Metazoa, Chordata, Mammalia, Carnivora, Felidae. The record is from RefSeq and is a predicted model, not a curated record. The transcript has 2 exons.
AAUUCCUGUAUAGGAACAAAAACAGUGUUCCAUUACUCAUCUUUGAUAAUAAUUCAAGCUUACAUGGAAAUAUCUUGUUAAAGGACAAAUCACAAGCUCUGGCCAGGCUUGGCCUUUCCCUGGAGGUCUGGGUGUUCAUGCACUCCGAAGCUAAGGAGAGGACAGGCAGGAAGUUUUCUACUACAUGGAAAGGGAAAAGGAGGGGCUGGAAAGCCAUGGACAUAAAUGGUGAGGGUCAGAGGACUACGGCUGUCUUUGGGGUCUAGUGGUAACAGUGGUAAUUACCUAAUCAAAGAAACUUCCCCUUGUAUGCAUUUUCAAAUGUCUUUUUUGUUGUUGUUGUUGUUUUGUCAAUAAGACAACGAUUCUUUAUACUCAUGCUCCCAAACUUUCCUAUAGGAAUAAUUGUUAAAAGGAGAGAAAAAAACCAGUGUGGAAGCUGCAUGUUCAAGCCAUCAGUCAUUUUAAAGAGGACAAGGGCACAGAAGUCCAUUCAUUUUCAGAAAAUAAAAAGCAGAUUAUGUUUGUUUUUCAAA